UCUUAGUUCGUAUGGAAAUUAUCAAAGCUGGCUGGUUAUAAUUAGAUAAGAAAGGAUACAAAUGUUAUUACCAACUGAAAGGCGCUCCAAUUCCUUCCGUAUCCUGACGAGCUGCAUGUUAAACUCAAGCCUCUAAUGUCAAACUUUUUCAGUUCUGGGCAUUCAUCUCCAUACGAAUCCCACCAAUCAGCUAGUACAUUGACACGUAUAAUUAGAAAACUGAAAACUGCAGUAUAUUGAAGAGAUAGUUGCUUGUGUGCAAAUAUUAACCUGAUGAUUUCUUUGAUCUAGUCAUAACUGCAUACUCCAUUCCGAAAAGACCCCUGACAUUUUUGAAUAUAUCAAGCUGCAAGUCUAAUUUUACCCUUUCAGGCCUAUAACGGAAAUGUGGAUUCAGAUAAUAUGCUGCCGAACGAAGAGGCCUUUUAGGAGCUGUGUUUCCCAUCUUUCAUUAAUAAUAUUCCAUACUGGAUUAUAGCUGGAAAAUAAGCAUAAAUAAAUGGCAAUCAACUUCCUUGAAAAGUUUUCCUCCUUGUCACAAAAUGAGCAAUCACUUUCUGUUUGCACUUCUGUGAUUCCAGCUCUUGAUUGUGUGAGUUGGAACUUGAGUACAAGGCUCAACAUGGAAUCUGGUGCCUGCCAAAUGAUGCUUAAAUCUGUAUAUGCUGCCGGCCUUACUUAAAUUGAAAAACGUUGCAUUUCACUGUUUUUGCGCGUGGACAAAUCUCCUCACGGUACUGCCAACCUGGCAAGCAGAACAACAAGGUCUUGAUUACAUAUAUUGCUUAACAGGGAAUAGCAAUGAGAAAUAAGUGAAUGGAUGUUUCACGCACAAAGGCGGCUGCAAUCCAAUUGAUCAAGCAUGCAUGAUCAUCGGAUGAGCUUGUGAAGGAGUACAAGGCCAUGCUCGACUAGCUCCUACCAUUGAAGAAACCAUCAGUAUCAAAUGAAUAUGGAAAAGAAGAUAUCAACACUGAGACAAGCCUUUGAAGCGCAGUUCUUCCUUGGAUAGUAGCGGAUGCAUUCUAGAUCUUGAUGAUUGAGUUCAUGGAGAGCAUGUACAUGAAGAGCUUUAUGAGAUAGAUUGCAACUUCUGUGCAAAUGUUAUGUCAUAUUGGGUGAUGUAUAUGUAUCAUUGGUGCAACAUCUUAUUGUGCAAUCUGAAAUAUU
Lolium perenne is the source of this 1170-nucleotide non-coding RNA. The record is from RefSeq and is a predicted model, not a curated record. Lineage: Eukaryota; Viridiplantae; Streptophyta; Magnoliopsida; Poales; Poaceae.